AAAAGCACUUUGGAAAGAGAGUGCAAGAGAUCGUGAAACCAAUAUAAAGGAAACGAACGGUGCUAACGGAUUAGGUUUACAUUCAUUUGUGGUGGGAACACUGCGAUGCACUUGUGAGCUGUGUGCGCUGAGAGCAUUGAUGCUGUCGUUGGAAGCCGGUGAGGAUGGACUCGUUUACGAGAUACCUGCGCCGUUGGAAAGCGGUUGGUGUUGGUGUUUGUAUGGUGUGGCGAUAGUGGUUGCGUGUGGGUAUGCGUUGGUUGUCGCUUCAGCACAUGUGUUGUGGUGGCUUUCGGUGUAUGCUUGUGCGUUAUUGCCCGUCGCACUUCUCGGUGUUUAGUUAGUAAACCGUUUGACCCGUCUUGAAACACGGACCAAGGAGUUUAAAGUAUACGCGAGUUAGAGAGUGGCAAACUCUACAGCACAAUGAAAGUAAGGAACUCAGUUUCUUCGGUGUGAUGACUAGCUUUGGCUGGUAGGCAACACCGCUCCAUGCCUGGGUUCUGAUCUGGUGUGGAAGUUGAGCGUAUGCUUUGAGACCCGAAAGAUGGUGAACUAUGCUCGAACAGGAUGAAGCCAGGGGAAACCCUGGUGGAAGUCCGAAGCGGUUCUGACGUGCAAAUCGAUCGUCUGAUUUGAGUAUAGGGGCGAAAGACUAAUCGAACUAUC
RNAcentral lists this ribosomal RNA (669 nucleotides) under Pseudaphelenchus vindai. Its description in RNAcentral is "eukaryotic LSU rRNA". It matches the Rfam family "Eukaryotic large subunit ribosomal RNA", at positions 367 to 944 of the family's 3401-position model. Lineage: Eukaryota; Metazoa; Nematoda; Chromadorea; Rhabditida; Aphelenchoididae. The record is from RNAcentral.